GCGAGAGUGGUGAAAUUGGCAGACACGCCAGACUUAGGAUCUGGUACCUUACGGUGUAGGGGUUCAAGUCCCCUCUCUCGCA
Transfer RNA from Sphaerochaeta globosa str. Buddy, 82 nucleotides. It matches the Rfam family "tRNA". From Rfam's summary of the family: Transfer RNA (tRNA) molecules are approximately 80 nucleotides in length. Their secondary structure includes four short double-helical elements and three loops (D, anti-codon, and T loops). Lineage: Bacteria; Pseudomonadati; Spirochaetota; Spirochaetia; Spirochaetales; Sphaerochaetaceae. The record is from Rfam.